AGAGCGAACGCUGGCGGCAGGCCUAAAACAUGCAAGUCGAACGGACCCUUCGGGGUUAGUGGCGGACGGGUGAGUAACACGUGGGAACGUGCCUUUUGGUUCAGAACAACUCAGGGAAACUUGAGCUAAUACUGAAUAAGCCCUACGGGGGAAAGAUUUAUCGCCAUUAGAGCGGCCCGCGUUGGAUUAGCUAGUUGGUGAGGUAAAGGCUCACCAAGGCUACGAUCCAUAGCUGGUCUGAGAGGAUGAUCAGCCACACUGGGACUGAGACACGGCCCAGACUCCUACGGGAGGCAGCAGUUAGGAAUCUUGCGCAAUGGGCAAAGCCUGACGCAGCCAUGCCGCGUGAAUGAUGAAGGUCUUAGGAUUGUAAAAUUCUUUCAGCGGGAAGAUAAUGACUGUACCCGCAGAAGAAGCUCCGGCUAACGUUCGUGCCAGCAGCCGC
This 445-nucleotide ribosomal RNA is filed under the name uncultured bacterium. RNAcentral's name for it is "SSU rRNA". It matches the Rfam family "Bacterial small subunit ribosomal RNA", at positions 26 to 518 of the family's 1533-position model. The record is from RNAcentral.